CAUGCCGCGUGUGUGAAGAAGGCUUUCGGGUUGUAAAGCACUUUCAGUGAGGAGGAAGGCCUUAAGGUUAAUACCCUUGAGGAUUGACGUUACUCACAGAAGAAGCACCGGCUAACUCCGUGCCAGCACCUUCGGUGACUGAGCGGGCUGGCAAGGCGCAUA
RNAcentral lists this ribosomal RNA (162 nucleotides) under uncultured bacterium. RNAcentral describes it as "partial 16S ribosomal RNA". It matches the Rfam family "Bacterial small subunit ribosomal RNA", at positions 393 to 539 of the family's 1533-position model. The record is from RNAcentral.